Long non-coding RNA from Oreochromis aureus, 159 nucleotides. RefSeq lists it as uncharacterized. The transcript has 3 exons. Lineage: Eukaryota; Metazoa; Chordata; Actinopteri; Cichliformes; Cichlidae. The record is from RefSeq and is a predicted model, not a curated record.
ACGUCGUGAAGACACCAGAGAGCUGAAUAGCGAAGAAGCUAAUGGGAGAAACGCAGAAUUGGCUAAAGACUCCAAACCCCCAACAACGAAGUCUCCAACAUUCGGCUCAGAGCCUUUCAAACAGAAUGAGCAGGUGAAGGUAGAAAGUGUGUGUGAGCU